Molecule: ribosomal RNA, 667 nt
Filed under: uncultured marine bacterium
Lineage: Bacteria
Description: bacterial SSU rRNA
Rfam family: Bacterial small subunit ribosomal RNA
Source: RNAcentral
AGUCGAACGAAGUAGCAAUACUUAGUGGCAGACGGGUGAGUAACAUGUAGGUAUCUGCCCUUUGGCCUGGAAUAACACGAGGAAACUUGUGCUAAUACCGGAUAAGUCUUUACAGAGAAAGCUUUAUGCACCAUUGGAUGAGCCUGCACUUGAUUAGUUUGUUGGUGGGGUAAUGGCCUACCAAGACUUUGAUCAAUAGCUGAUUUGAGAGGAUGAUCAGCCACAUUGGGACUGAGACACGGCCCAAACUCCUACGGGAGGCAGCAGUGGGGAAUCUUGCACAAUGGAGGAAACUCUGAUGCAGCGAUGCCGCGUGAGUGAAGAAGGCCUUUGGGUUGUAAAGCUCUUUCGUCGGGGAAGAAAAUGACUGUACCCGAAUAAGAAGGUCCGGCUAACUUCGUGCCAGCAGCCGCGGUAAUACGAAGGGACCUAGCGUAGUUCGGAAUUACUGGGCUUAAAGAGUUUGUAGGUGGUUGAAAAAGUUGGUGGUGAAAUCCCAGAGCUUAACUCUGGAACUGCCAUCAAAACUUUUCAGCUAGAGUAUGAUAGAGGAAAGCAGAAUUUCUAGUGUAGAGGUGAAAUUCGUAGAUAUUAGAAAGAAUACCAAUUGCGAAGGCAGCUUUCUGGAUCAUUACUGACACUGAGGAACGAAAGCAUGGGUAGCGAA